RNAcentral lists this ribosomal RNA (497 nucleotides) under uncultured bacterium. Its description in RNAcentral is "partial 16S ribosomal RNA". It matches the Rfam family "Bacterial small subunit ribosomal RNA", at positions 28 to 507 of the family's 1533-position model. The record is from RNAcentral.
GAUGAACGCUGGCGGCGUGCCUAAUACAUGCAAGUCGAGCGAACAGACGAGGAGCUUGCUCCUCUGACGUUAGCGGCGGACGGGUGAGUAACACGUGGAUAACCUACCUAUAAGACUGGGAUAACUUCGGGAAACCGGAGCUAAUACCGGAUAAUAUAUUGAACCGCAUGGUUCAAUAGUGAAAGACGGUUUUGCUGUCACUUAUAGAUGGAUCCGCGCCGCAUUAGCUAGUUGGUAAGGUAACGGCUUACCAAGGCAACGAUGCGUAGCCGACCUGAGAGGGUGAUCGGCCACACUGGAACUGAGACACGGUCCAGACUACUACGGGAGGCAGCAGUAGGGAAUCUUCCGCAAUGGGCGAAAGCCUGACGGAGCAACGCCGCGUGAGUGAUGAAGGUCUUCGGAUCGUAAAACUCUGUUAUUAGGGAAGAACAAAUGUGUAAGUAACUAUGCACGUCUUGACGGUACCUAAUCAGGAAGCCACGGCUAACUACGUG